GUGCCAGCAGCCGCGGUAAUACGGAGGAUGCGAGCGUUAUCCGGAUUUAUUGGGUUUAAAGGGUGCGUAGGCGGUGCGUUAAGUCAGCGGUAAAAUUGAGGGGCUCAACCCCUUCCCGCCGUUGAAACUGGCGUGCUUGAGUGGGCGAGAAGUACGCGGAAUGCGUGGUGUAGCGGUGAAAUGCAUAGAUAUCACGCAGAACUCCGAUUGCGAAGGCAGCGUACCGGCGCCCAACUGACGCUGAAGCACGAAAGCGUGGGUAUCGAACAGGAUUAGAUACCCUGGUAGUCCACGCAGUAAACGAUGAAUGCUAAUUGUCCGCGGGGAGUGACCUGUGGGUGAUAAAGCGAAAGCGUUAAGCAUUCCACCUGGGGAGUACGCCGGCAACGGUGAA
RNAcentral lists this ribosomal RNA (394 nucleotides) under uncultured bacterium. Its description in RNAcentral is "bacterial SSU rRNA". It matches the Rfam family "Bacterial small subunit ribosomal RNA", at positions 505 to 898 of the family's 1533-position model. The record is from RNAcentral.